RNAcentral lists this transfer RNA (73 nucleotides) under Sus scrofa (pig). It matches the Rfam family "tRNA". Rfam says of the family: Transfer RNA (tRNA) molecules are approximately 80 nucleotides in length. Their secondary structure includes four short double-helical elements and three loops (D, anti-codon, and T loops). Further hydrogen bonds mediate the characteristic L-shaped molecular structure. tRNAs have two regions of fundamental functional importance: the anti-codon, which is responsible for specific mRNA codon recognition, and the 3' end, to which the tRNAs corresponding amino acid is attached (by aminoacyl-tRNA synthetases). tRNAs cope with the degeneracy of the genetic code in two manners: having more than one tRNA (with a specific anti-codon) for a particular amino acid; and 'wobble' base-pairing, i.e. permitting non-standard base-pairing at the 3rd anti-codon position. Lineage: Eukaryota; Metazoa; Chordata; Mammalia; Artiodactyla; Suidae. The record is from Rfam by way of RNAcentral.
UCCCUGGUGGCUCAGUGGGUUAAAACUCAGCAUUGUCACUGCUGUGGCGUGGGUUCGAUCCCUGGCCUGGGAA